GGGGGUAUAGCUCAGUGAUAGAGCUGCUGUUUAGCAUGCACAAGGUCCUGGGUUCAAUCCCCAGUACCUCCU
Molecule: transfer RNA, 72 nt
Filed under: Camelus bactrianus (Bactrian camel)
Lineage: Eukaryota; Metazoa; Chordata; Mammalia; Artiodactyla; Camelidae
Also listed under: 1 other name
Rfam family: tRNA
About the family: Transfer RNA (tRNA) molecules are approximately 80 nucleotides in length. Their secondary structure includes four short double-helical elements and three loops (D, anti-codon, and T loops).
Source: Rfam by way of RNAcentral